UCCCGCCGCCCACCCCUCACGAGCUCAAACCCUCACCUAUUCUAAGGUGCUCCAUCCCCACCCUGUCACCAAGAAAUCCGGCCUCCUCAUCGUCCUCGGCACCGAGCAGAUCCCGGCGAAGACCAGGCUCAACCUGCGCCGGAAGCUCCUGUCGGCCGUGGCGGAGCACUGCUCCACGCCAUAUUGCUUGUCCACCGCUACCCCCGCGCCGUCCUGCCUCUCCACGAGUGCCCCCACACCGCCCUGCUCCCCGGCGUCGCCACCCACUCCCUGCUGUGGCAGCCGGUGAUUUCCCAUGGUGAGGCAACUCCCUCCCCUCCCCCCUUCUCCCUUUCUCGAACCUGACAACCAAAUUCAUCUCCCAGAUCAGAACACACCACCACCGGCAGGUUCUUCUUCAGAAGGCCAGACGUCUAGGGUUCAUCUUCAAGAGACCAUAUCCAUCUUCAGAGGCAACUCUCUCUCCCUCCCUCCCUCCCUCCCUCUCUCUCUCUCUGAAAAAUCCUUCAACAUUAUGUUUCUUCGUCUGUGAUUUAGUGCACUGUAUGUGGUUGUUCUUUGCUUAGAAAACAUUAUUGUUAUAUCUGUUGGUAUAUGAUGACUCGAAGUAAUUUCAGUUUUAGAUGAAUUUUGUUCAUAAGAUGUAGUAUAUCCAGGAUCUUUUUUCUUUUUUUUAGUAUAUGAUGUUGUGAUUUAGUAGUUUGGAGCCUGGCACUUCAAUUCAAAACUGACGUCAAUACCUAAAAUAAUAAAAAGAACAAGAAAUGGUGGCUAGCAAACAUAUCUUUUUUAUAAAAUUGGUGAGCUGAAUAUCCAAGUAAUGGUUUGUCUAUAACUAAUUUGGCUGCUAGAUUUUUCGAAGUUGUUAGACUCUAAUUUGAUGGUUAUAUAUUAGGUAAUGCUUUGUCUAUAACUAAUUUGGCUGCUAGAUUUAUUGAAGUUGGUAGACCGUAUUUUGAUGGUUAUAUAUUAGAGCUAAAGAACAAUAUGUACUGAACAAUAAAGAACAAUAUGUAUUUUUUUCUCUUAACAGAGCUUCUCUAAGCUUUUCUAAUAUGUUAUCCUAGUUUAUUCCUAGUAGCUCCCAGCAAAUGCAGUGUGUGAACAAGUAUUGAAUGUUUUGUUUAGGCUUUGGUUCUUAUGUGAUUUUUUUCUUCAGAAAACUGCACCGUGGGCAUUCAUCUUCAAGUGAUUAUCCAUCUAAGGUGCUUGUUGCAACCAGUUCGGUGAACAUUUAAAACACUGCCCAGCAAAUGAAGGGUGGAAACAGAGUACUAACCAGGAAUGCCACUAUUCAAUGGGAUCGGAAUGACGCCUGGAGUCCUGAAAGGUCAAAGCUAAAUACUAGUCUGCAUCCGCCUACCUUGGCAGGGAUACCAGGGCGAAAAUGUUGGAACCGUUUGGACAGAUGUACCUUAUAAGUGUUCUCCCUUCCUGCCCAAAACAAUGUUAGACAUGUGGACAGAGGGCUUCUAUGCCACACUCAUGGCUACUGCUGGAUGUUGAUUGGCGGUCUUCACGACCAGAAUUCUAGUUUUGUAGAUUAG
This is a non-coding RNA of Triticum urartu, 1547 nucleotides long. The record is from RefSeq and is a predicted model, not a curated record. Lineage: Eukaryota; Viridiplantae; Streptophyta; Magnoliopsida; Poales; Poaceae.